Molecule: long non-coding RNA, 99 nt
Organism: Thalassophryne amazonica
Lineage: Eukaryota; Metazoa; Chordata; Actinopteri; Batrachoidiformes; Batrachoididae
Exons: 3
Source: RefSeq, a predicted model, not a curated record
CCUGGCAAGGUUAGCAAGAGGUCAAUUAUUUGGGUGAAGGUCUCAGUCACUGGAGACAAAUGUCAGAUUGUCAUAGCUUUAGGGUCAUAUUUCCACUUA